CAGACAGGAAUGCACCGUGACCUCCGUAGGCUACCUGUUCCGGCGCUACGUCAACCUGAACAUAAAGAAUUUCUUCCUCGUGUUGAAGUGAAACUUCUUGAUGUAUUCUUCACCCCCUCCCAGACACAUAACACUAUGUUUCCCUUUACUUCAUUAAGAUUCCUGUCAGCCACCAUGUUUUUGGCUUGCCCAGGUCUCUCUGAACAGCAGCCCUGCCCUUAAGAGGAAUGAUUGCACUCCUAAUUAAUAGAGAUUUUAAAAAAUCGACUUCUUUAGUUAACCUGGCAAAUUGACCGGGAAAAAAAUUUUAGAAGAGAUCACCUUACAGGUUUAGUCUGCCUUCUUGUCUGUUGUGAAAAUCUUUGUUUGGCUGGAGAUUAUCUUGGCAUGGAAGUAACUUGUGCUGAACAAUUUAAUAACAGUUCCUGCAACACAAUGCUGCUUCAGUGGGCUUCUGCUAACCUGUACUGCUCCAACCUUUACACUGUGUAUGUGUGUGGUGCUCUGUUGGCUCUGCACAGGCCUGGAGAGCUACAGUUUUCCAGCUUCCAAACUCCCACUGCUGUUGCAGAAAAGCUUCAGGAAUCAAGCUGUCACUUUAAGUUUCCACAGCUGUUGAUACAAGUGUAGUCAUGAACCCCAGGUAAGUUUUGGACAGAAUUUGAUUUAAAAAAAAAAAAUCCUAGUCUGUGUUUGUUUGUUUUAAUCUUGAUUAUAAAAUGGAAAGUUCAACCACAGUAUGGAAAGAACAAGUGAAGCUACAUGAAGGGAAAGAUGCCAACCUGACUUUCUCUUGUUCUGUGACACUCAGCUCACAAAUAUUUCUGUGCUGGAAUGAUAAUUUAUCUGGGUGACCACCCCUUGCUCUGCACAGAGUACACCACCAAAAUACACAUUUUCCUAGACUUCCCCAUCAGUAAUUUUACUGUUUCUCUUCAGCUGUGUGAGGAAGACGGGGCUUUGUGUUUUGCCACUAUUUUCUGUAUAGGGAAGCUGAACCAGGUGACUUUUAAAAGGUCCCUUCCCACUCAAACUUCUGUGUCUUUA
Molecule: long non-coding RNA, 1047 nt
Filed under: Taeniopygia guttata (zebra finch)
Lineage: Eukaryota; Metazoa; Chordata; Aves; Passeriformes; Estrildidae
Description: lncRNA (ENSTGUG00000020201.1)
Source: RNAcentral